This 253-nucleotide long non-coding RNA is filed under the name Solanum tuberosum (potato). RNAcentral describes it as "long non-coding RNA (STUB_LNC007185)". The record is from RNAcentral. Lineage: Eukaryota; Viridiplantae; Streptophyta; Magnoliopsida; Solanales; Solanaceae.
AUAAAAACACCUCAAAAAAUUCCCGAAUCGCAAGAGUCACCCUAGAAUAACGAUACGAAUAAAAUAUCAAAAUUUCACAUUUAUUCUUGACUACCCGAAAGAUAUCAAAAUAUUUAAUUUGUAAACGUCCGGAAAAUAUACAAAUCAAGAAAAAGACAUAAAAACACCUUAAAAAUAUCCGAAUUGCACCACUCACCUUAUAAUAUCGAUGCGAAUAAAAUAUCAAAAUUUCACAUUUUUUCAUGACUACCCG